This is a transfer RNA of 82 nucleotides. It matches the Rfam family "tRNA". From Rfam's summary of the family: Transfer RNA (tRNA) molecules are approximately 80 nucleotides in length. The record is from Rfam.
GCGAUUAUGAUGAAAUGGUAGACAUAAAACACUUAAAAUGUUUGGGCGUUAUGCCGUAAAGGUUCGAGUCCUUUUAAUCGUA